RNAcentral lists this non-coding RNA (185 nucleotides) under Thiohalocapsa marina. Its description in RNAcentral is "6S / SsrS RNA". It matches the Rfam family "6S / SsrS RNA". From Rfam's summary of the family: E. coli 6S RNA was the first non coding RNA to be sequenced, but its function was unknown until recently. It consists of 184 nucleotides that fold into an extended hairpin structure with a large single-stranded internal bulge. Lineage: Bacteria; Pseudomonadati; Pseudomonadota; Gammaproteobacteria; Chromatiales; Chromatiaceae. The record is from Rfam by way of RNAcentral.
CAUUCCCUGCGGUGUUCGGCAGCGGCCUGGGUAUUUUCUUGAGCCUAAUCCGUACCCCGGGGAUGCAGCGUGAAGGCCGUUGCGCAUGUCCGCCCCGAGCGGAAAGCCUGAAGCCCGAACAAGUGUCCCCACUUGAACCGCCUGGUUCAAGAACAAAGGUCCGCACCGCCACAGGCGGGGAAUGU